This 380-nucleotide ribosomal RNA is filed under the name uncultured soil bacterium. Its description in RNAcentral is "bacterial SSU rRNA". It matches the Rfam family "Bacterial small subunit ribosomal RNA", at positions 26 to 408 of the family's 1533-position model. The record is from RNAcentral.
AGAUUGAACGCUAGCGGGAUGCUUUACACAUGCAAGUCGAACGGCAGCGCGGACUUCGGUCUGGCGGCGAGUGGCGAACGGGUGAGUAAUAUAUCGGAACGUGCCCAGUAGCGGGGGAUAACUACGCGAAAGCGUGGCUAAUACCGCAUACGCCCUACGGGGGAAAGGGGGGGAUUCUUCGGAACCUCUCACUAUUGGAGCGGCCGAUAUCAGAUUAGCUAGUUGGUGAGGUAAAGGCUCACCAAGGCGACGAUCUGUAGCUGGUUUGAGAGGACGACCAGCCACACUGGGACUGAGACACGGCCCAGACUCCUACGGGAGCAGCAGUGGGAAUUUGGACAAGUGGGGGAAACCCUGAUCCAGCCAUCCCGCGUGUGCGA